CCAGCACAUGCGCAGUGUUGUGAAAGAGUAGCAGUUUCGGAUAUUCCUAUUAGGUAAACGAGGUGGAGGUCUAAGUAAGGCCUGUAUUGUAGGCUGAAAGAGCAUGAGAUUCUUAACACUUUUAUUUUCUACCCUAGAAAGAUUUCUAGGAUACUGACUGAAAUCUUUCCACGUUUAGAAAAGCAGUUUUCCAAGAAGCCUGUCCGUUAACACUUUGCAUUGCAGUGUUCUUCGAAACGUACAUUUUCCUUGGAUUUUACAGACAGUUUCCAACAGAUGGCUGCAUGCUGUAUCUCAAGGACUGUGAUGUUACGCUGGACCAGUCCCCCACGUUUGAAAAUGCUGUGUGGACCCUUCUAAUCAUGGGAGAUGGUUCACGCAGCUGCUUGGUUGCUGUAGCCUAGCCCCAGAACACUUCUGAAAGAAGCCUGUGGAACUAUAGAUGUGUUCUGGGUGACUGUUGAUCCGUGUUUGGGCCAAACACUGACAGUCUUAACACAAAAUCUUUCAAGUGUUUAGCCCAAACACUGACAGUCUUAACACCAAGGGCAUUAUGUGUUUGCUCCAAACACUGACAGUCUUAACAUAAGGCACUGUUAGUGUUUGGACCAAACACUGACAGUCUUAACAGACUAAUGCCUAAGUGUUCGGUCCAAACACUGACAGUCUUAACACAAAAGACUGUCAGUGUUUAGACCGAGCACUGACAGUCUUAACGGUCACCAGCUGUCAGUAUCUUUCAAUAUACUGACAGUCUCAACACAUCUAUAAUUCCAUUACAUCUACUCAGGAGUGUGAUGGGGGUGUAUUUCAUGAUACAGGAUACUGACAGUCUUAACUAGAUAUGUAUUGACAUACUAGGCUACAUACCAGGCUUUUCAUUUUAAAAUAAAAAUAGUGUAAAUGCUUUUUAAGCAUUUUUCAAGUCUCUCCAUUUAUAGAAGAUACUCUUUAAAAAAAAACUGGAAAUGUGAGAGCAGCUUUGAAUCUCAAAUUUGUUAAUCAUUAUGUUUUUAUGAUGAAAUACAAUUUAAAAGAUUGUAAAUAAUAAUAAUAAAAUUUUUUGUAUAGCUUCCUUUUAAAAUCAUUUUCUGUAAAUAAAGCUCUAAAUCCAUUUUAUGUCAAAUAUGGAAUAUGAAAAUUUCGUGUUGAAUUCCAUAGAAUCUGUUAAAAUUUCAGUAAAAAAUUCUGCUUUUCAUCUGCUGAAAACCACAGUAUUUUAUGCAGCAAAGUUUUUGAGAAUUGAACUCUAGAGAAUAAUUAAAACUAUUUUAAGCUUUUAAUUACUUGUCUGUUGGAAUAAAACGUUUAUGAUCAGUA
Long non-coding RNA from Stegodyphus dumicola, 1320 nucleotides. RefSeq lists it as uncharacterized. NCBI's taxonomy places the organism in Eukaryota, Metazoa, Arthropoda, Arachnida, Araneae, Eresidae. The record is from RefSeq and is a predicted model, not a curated record.